CCUACGGGAGGCAGCAGUGGGGAAUAUUGCACAAUGGGGGGAACCCUGAUGCAGCGACGCCGCGUGAGCGAUGAAGUAUUUCGGUAUGUAAAGCUCUAUCAGCAGGGAAGAAAAUGACGGUACCUGACUAACAAGCCCCUGCUAACUACGUGCCAGCAGCCGCGGUAAUACGUAGGGGGCAAGCGUUCUCCGGAUAUACUGGGUGUAAAGGGAGCGUAGACGGCUGUGCAAGUCUGGAGUGAAAGGCAUGGGCUCAACCUGUGGACUGCUUUGGAAACUGGGCGGCUUGAGUAUCGGAGAGGGAAGUGGAAUUCCUAGUGUAGCGGUGAAAUGCGUAGAUAUUAGGAGGAACACCAGUGGCGAAGGCGGCUUGCUGGACGAUGACUGACGUUGAGGCUCGAAAGCGUGGGGAGCAAACAGGAUCAGAUACCCCAGUAGUC
This 440-nucleotide ribosomal RNA is filed under the name uncultured bacterium. RNAcentral's name for it is "partial 16S ribosomal RNA". It matches the Rfam family "Bacterial small subunit ribosomal RNA", at positions 338 to 795 of the family's 1533-position model. The record is from RNAcentral.